GACGAACGCUGGCGGCGUGCUUAACACAUGCAAGUCGAACGGAAAGGCCCUGCUUUUGUGGGGUGCUCGAUUGGCGAACGGGUGAGUAACACGUGAGUAACCUGCCCUUGACUUUGGGAUAACUUCAGGAAACUGGGGCUAAUAUCGGAUAUGAGCUCCUGCUGCAUGGUGGGGGUUGGAAAGUUUCGGCGGUUGGGGAUGGACUCGCGGCUUAUCAGCUUGUUGGUGGGGUAGUGGCUUACCAAGGCUUUGACGGGUAGCCGGCCUGAGAGGGUGACCGGCCACAUUGGGACUGAGAUACGGCCCAGACGCCUACGGGAGGCAGCAGUGGGGAAUAUUGCACAAUGGGCGGAAGCCUGAUGCAGCAACGCCGCGUGCGGGAUGACGGCCUUCGGGUUGUAAACCGCUUUCGCCUGUGACGAAGCGUGAGUGACGGUAAUGGGUAAAGAAGCACCGGCUAACUACGUG
Molecule: ribosomal RNA, 468 nt
Filed under: uncultured bacterium
Lineage: Bacteria
Description: partial 16S ribosomal RNA
Rfam family: Bacterial small subunit ribosomal RNA
Source: RNAcentral